CCUACGGGUGGCAGCAGUGAGGAAUAUUGGUCAAUGGCCGGAAGGCUGAACCAGCCAAGCCGCGCGAAGGACGAAGGUGUCAAGCAUUGUAAACUUCUUUUGUCAAGGGACAAAAUCAGGCUCGAGAGCCUGACCGAGGGUACUUGAAGAAAAAGCAUCGGCUAACUCCGUGCCAGCAGCCGCGGUAAUACGGAGGAUGCGAGCGUUAUCCGGAUUUAUUGGGUUUAAAGGGUGCGUAGGCGGGCGGUUAAGUCAGCGGGAAAAGCCCGGGGCUCAACCCCGGCGAGCCGUUGAAACUGGCUGUCUUGAGAUGUCGAGAGGUAUGCGGAAUGCGCAGUGUAGCGGUGAAAUGCUUGGAUAGUGCGCAGAACUCCGAUUGCGAAGGCAGCAUACCGGCGGCGAUCUGACGCUGAGGCACGAGAGCGUGGGUAUCGAACAGGAUUAGAUACCCGGGUAGUC
Molecule: ribosomal RNA, 459 nt
Filed under: uncultured bacterium
Lineage: Bacteria
Description: partial 16S ribosomal RNA
Rfam family: Bacterial small subunit ribosomal RNA
Source: RNAcentral